UAAUCUAGGGAAUUUAAUGAAAAAAAACUCUCAUUGGUCAGAUCCAUUUUUAAACCCUGAACUAUGUUUUUAGUAAAACAAAUCCCGAACUAAAACCUGUUAAUAAACUUAACCUCACAGUAAUUAAAUAUUAAUGGGAUAUUAAUUUCCAAAAAUCGACCAAAGAACAAUGACAGAAUCCGUGAUCCAACUGAAGAUCGUCCACCUCAAAAAGUUCCUUAUACACGUGAAAAAGUUCAAAUGGUAAAAUAGAGAACAAUGAAUUAUGUUUCACAAGAUCUUCCUUUUCAAAUUAUUUAAUUUAAUAUUUGCAUAUUUAGACUUGCAGCAACUGUCAACAAGUCGGACGCAACAAACGUUCAUGCAAGCGUAAAGCAGUGCCAAAACCACCCAAGAAACCUCAAGGACGACCAAGGAAAAAACAGAAAACAAUGGAUGAAGAGAACCCUAUCACUCAGCCAAUACAAUCUUUUCUUCAAAGUUAAUGCUUGACAAGUCUUUACUUUAGAAUAUCUUGUCCCUCUGAAACGAUUGUUUUUUUUUGUGACAAAUAUUGUUGUGUUGCAACUGCUUCGAUAGUUAUGUUGGUUGGAUUUAUUUAAGUAUGACUCUUUGGAUUAUUUUAAGUUGUUGUGUCUUUCUUUCAGCUUCUAAAAUCCAAACUAAUUAAGCAAUUCAAAAUCAUUUAGAACGUUUUUUUGUAAUAAAUUCAAAACAGUUUUAAAGAACAUCAUGUGGUUUUUGCGCUAAAUACAAAUGUCUCGUUGUUUUUUUUU
Molecule: small RNA, 776 nt
Filed under: Arabidopsis thaliana (thale cress)
Lineage: Eukaryota; Viridiplantae; Streptophyta; Magnoliopsida; Brassicales; Brassicaceae
Description: ATSL180420
Source: RNAcentral